RNAcentral lists this long non-coding RNA (407 nucleotides) under Anser brachyrhynchus (Pink-footed goose). RNAcentral describes it as "lncRNA (ENSABRG00000022220.1)". Lineage: Eukaryota; Metazoa; Chordata; Aves; Anseriformes; Anatidae. The record is from RNAcentral.
GCUCCAAAGGAAUUCCCUCUGAAGAAAUCAGUUCAAAAGUAGAAAAGAAGGAUUUUAAUUCUUUGGUUUUUGGCUAAUUGGAACACUCUGGAACUGUGAGGAAGAAGAAGAUCAGGACAAAACCUACUGCAGCAGCCCAAAAACCAGAGAAUGUAACACUGUCCUUUCCUUAUUUGCUAGGUACUUGUGUGUAUGUGUGUAUUUCUUGUUUCACCUGCAUGCAGAAGUUUUAUAACAGGAAAGAAUUUGUAAGUUUAAGUCCUGAUCAUUAUGAAGCACCAAGGGAAUGUGACAUAAAGUACUAAUGUAAUAGGUGGAGUUUCUGUCCUGAUCCAGACAAAGCCAGGGUUGUGUCAAGUAAAGUAGGCUUUUUCUCUUGAGAUUUGGCGGUGUUUUCUUUGGUAUCU